RNAcentral lists this ribosomal RNA (438 nucleotides) under uncultured bacterium. RNAcentral's name for it is "bacterial SSU rRNA". It matches the Rfam family "Bacterial small subunit ribosomal RNA", at positions 28 to 507 of the family's 1533-position model. The record is from RNAcentral.
GAUGAACGCUGGCGGUAUGCCUAACACAUGCAAGUCGUACGAGAGUUUUUAACUCUAGUGGCGGACGGGUGAGUAACACGUGAGAAUUUGCCUUUAGGAGGGGGAUAACAAUUGGAAACGAAUGCUAAUACCCCAUAUGCUUUUGAGUGAAACGGAUUUAUCCGCCUAGAGAGAAGCUCGCGGCUGAUUAGCUUGUUGGUAAGGUAAGAGCUUACCAAGGCGACGAUCAGUAUCUGGUUUGAGAGGACGAUCAGACACACUGGAACUGAGACACGGUCCAGACUCCUACGGGAGGCAGCAGUGGGGAAUUUUCCGCAAUGGGCGAAAGCCUGACGGAGCAAUACCGCGUGAGGGAAGACUGCCUAUGGGUUGUAAGCCUCUUUUUCAGGGAGGAAUAAAUGACGUGUACCUGAAGAAUAAGCAUCGGCUAACUCCGUG